GAGCGGGCGGAGUAGUGGUGUGGACUGACCCCUGCGACUCUCAUGCAGCAGCUGAGAGCCAGAGUGUCGCCAGAAAGGACUGAGAACAGGGUUGAGCUCCAACAGCUCCUCGGAGUAAGGACUGACACCCAAGUGUUCGUGUGUGUUCCCAGAAUGCCCGACACAGCUGAGCUCUCAAGAGGAACGCAAGGAAUGCAGAAUCCAACAGUUCUGACAUGAUACACUCCAGCAGAAGGAAUUUACCCUCUUGUUGCAUUUAAAGAUCCUGCCUAUUCUGCAGCUGUUACUCAUUAUAUAAGCUGACUAAAGGUUCAAGUAUAAAUAUGAGGAAGAACAGAACGAGUACCAUCUUACCUGCUCAUUUCAUUUUCCAAGUUCCACAUAUCAAUGUGUGCAAUGAGGAAAAACAUUAGAGAAGACAGCAAGCUGUGGAAUCCAGAACUGCUGAAGAAAUAAUGGAUGGAGAGAGAAGAUUUUUUUUUUAAUUCUGAAAAGAAGCAGCAUUUAGGCAUGGCUAGUAGUAUUUAUAGUAGUACUUAAAAGAUUCAGUUGUGAUUGGGACUCUGAAAUUCUGUGCACUGUUUUUACACAUGGUAAGAGACAGUUCCUGCUCCUGGAAUCUAAACAGAGAAAAACAUAAAAGGGAACAGUGAAACACUGUGGUAUUAGCCCCAAAUUUAGGACUAGAGGUCUCUCAAUAAUGAAGUAACUUGCCCAAAUGCAUAGCAGACCUGGGAGCAGAACCCAGCCCAAUGACCCAAUCACAAAACCAACCAUUCUGGCUUUAAGAUUCAUAUGGGUAACCUUCCAGGGCUUCAGGUAAGUAUUAAAUUAUAAUUCCAACAUACAUUAAGUUUCUUAUUCAAACCAAACCCUAAACCCAAACCUCUUGAGGUUCUCUCAACACUGUUAAUGUGUUUGUCAGAACAUAUUCCAAACAGAAAUGUGCAUUCAGCAGACAAUAGUGAUUGUUGUGGGUGGUAAGAUAUGCAGUGGGUUGCAGUAGCACGGAUUAUAUCCUGUAUCUUUUUAAUAUAAUUCAUGGCUUGUAUUUCAAAAACUGUUUAUAAUUAAGAGUAAA
This is a long non-coding RNA of Rhea pennata, 1081 nucleotides long. RefSeq lists it as uncharacterized. NCBI's taxonomy places the organism in Eukaryota, Metazoa, Chordata, Aves, Rheiformes, Rheidae. The transcript is spliced from 5 exons. The record is from RefSeq and is a predicted model, not a curated record.